RNAcentral lists this ribosomal RNA (277 nucleotides) under uncultured bacterium. RNAcentral describes it as "partial 16S ribosomal RNA". It matches the Rfam family "Bacterial small subunit ribosomal RNA", at positions 28 to 298 of the family's 1533-position model. The record is from RNAcentral.
GAUGAACGCUAGCGGCAGGCUUAACACAUGCAAGUCGAGGGGCAGCAAGGGUAGCAAUACCUGUUGGCGACCGGCAAACGGGUGCGGAACACGUACAGAAUCUACCUUGAUCUGGGGCAUAGCCCGGAGAAAUCCGGAUUAACUCCCCAUAAUAUGAUUGAGUGGCAUCACUUGUAUUAAUUUAAAAUUUAAUUGGAUCGAGAUGACUGUGCGUCCCACUUAGCUAGUUGGUAGGGUAACGGCCUACCAAGGNGACGAUGGGUAGCUGGUGUGAGAG